This 770-nucleotide ribosomal RNA is filed under the name Enterobacter asburiae. Its description in RNAcentral is "bacterial SSU rRNA". It matches the Rfam family "Bacterial small subunit ribosomal RNA", at positions 547 to 1317 of the family's 1533-position model. The record is from RNAcentral. Lineage: Bacteria; Pseudomonadati; Pseudomonadota; Gammaproteobacteria; Enterobacterales; Enterobacteriaceae.
GAUUACUGGGCGUAAGCGCACGCAGGCGGUCUGUCAAGUCGGAUGUGAAAUCCCCGGGACAACCUGGGAACUGCAUUCGAAACUGGCAGGCUAGAGUAAGUAGAGGGGGGUAGAAUUCCAGGUGUAGCGGUGAAAUGCGUAGAGAUCUGGAGGAAUACCGGUGGCCAAGGCGAGCCUUCCUGUGACAAAGACUGACGCUCAGUGUGCGAAAGCGUGGGGAGCAAACAGGAAAAGAUACCCUGGUAGUCCACGCCGUAAACGAUGUCAACUUGGAGGUUGUGCCCUUGAGGCCUGGCUUCCGGAGCUAACGCGUUAAGUCGACCGCCUGGGGAGUACGGCCGCAAGGUUAAAACUCAAAUGAAUUGACGGGGGCCCGCACAAGCGGUGGAGCAUGUGGUUUAAUUCGAUGCAACGCGAAGAACCUUACCUACUCUUGACAUCCAGAGAACUUUCCAGAGAUGGAUUGGUGCCUUCGGGAACUCUGAGACAGGUGCUGCAUGGCUGUCGUCAGCUCGUGUUGUGAAAUGUUGGGUUAAGUCCCGCAACGAGCGCAACCCUUAUCCUUUGUUGCCAGCGGGUCCGGCCGGGAACUCAAAAGAGACUGCCAGUGAUAAACUGGAAGAAGGGGGGGAUGACGUCAAGUCAUCAUGGGCCUUACGAGUAGGGCUACACACCUGCUACAAUGGCGCAUACAAAGAGAAGCGACCUCGCGAGAGCAAGCGGACCUCAUAAAGUGCGUCCUAAUCCGGAUUGGAGUCUGCAACUCCACU